RNAcentral lists this unclassified non-coding RNA (378 nucleotides) under plant metagenome. RNAcentral's name for it is "partial contains 5.8S ribosomal RNA, internal transcribed spacer 2, and large subunit ribosomal RNA". The stretch from base 1 to 105 matches the Rfam family "5.8S ribosomal RNA", at positions 50 to 154 of the family's 154-position model. The record is from RNAcentral.
GAAAUGCGAUAAGUAAGGUGAAUUGCAGAAUUCAGUGAAUCAUCGAAUCUUUGAACGCACCUUGCGCUCCUUGGUAUUCCUUGGAGCAUGCCUGUCUGAGUAUCAUGAAAUCUUCAAAGUAAAUCUUUUGUUAACUCAAUUGGUUUCUACUUUGGUAUUGGAGGUCUUUGCAGCUUCACACCUGCUCCUCUUUGUUCAUUAGCUGGAUCUCAGUGUUAUGCUUGGUUCCACUCGGCGUGAUAAGUUAUCUAUCGCUGAGGACACUGUAAAAGGUGGCCAAGGUAAAUGCAGAUGAACCGCUUCUAAUAGUCCAUUGACUUGGACAAUACUUUUAUGAUCUGAUCUCAAAACAGGUAGGACUACCCGCUGAACUUAAGC